CCUACGGGAGGCAGCAGUGAGGAAUAUUGGUCAAUGGGCGAGAGCCUGAACCAGCCAAGUCGCGUGAGGGAUGACGGUCCUAUGGAUUGUAAACCUCUUUUGUCGGGGAGCAAGAACUCUACGUGUAGAGAAGUGAGAGUACCCGAAGAAAAAGCAUCGGCUAACUCCGUGCCAGCAGCCGCGGUAAUA
RNAcentral lists this ribosomal RNA (189 nucleotides) under uncultured bacterium. RNAcentral's name for it is "partial 16S ribosomal RNA". It matches the Rfam family "Bacterial small subunit ribosomal RNA", at positions 338 to 525 of the family's 1533-position model. The record is from RNAcentral.